ACCAUUAUCAACAGCAGCUUUUAUCUUGAGUAUCAGGACAAUUUUAUAGGUUGGUGCAUUGCAACACCUGGUUUGGGAACUUUUCCAGACACUAAGAAGUGAAAGGGAUCAUACGAAGGACUAUCAAGACGAGGACAAUCCACAAGUAUAAUUAUUGAGAAAUUAGACCCCAGGAAUUUUGUAGGGCAGAGAUACUGAGAAAAAAGGAAAUGCAGGGGAAGAGAAUUCCAGACAUGCAUAUGGUUGGGUUCCAUUUGUGAUGUAGAUCGCACGAACAACAGGCCAGGGGCACCCCACCUGCCUGAAUGACUUGAGUCACCCGAGGAGACGAUACACAGUGGUAUAUAAUUCCCAUUCUCCCUAACAAAAAUAGUUCGCAUUUCUUUCCUUCGGAAGACGAAGGAGCUAGGGCAACUUUCAGUUUCAGGAGACUAAGGGGGUGGCUUGUUGGACCACCUUAUUCUGCUGUAACAAGAGGAAGCAAUGUGGGUAUCACCACCCACCACCACUUAUCACACUUCCAAUGGUGCUCAAGAAGAGUCAGUUUUUUGGAAGAAAAUCAGGUGUUUUACUUAUCCCUGGGAGCAUACGCUGGGCUUUCUCAUGCGUGCCUGUCUACUGUUUCAACGGUAUAGACCAGGAGUCGGACCUCCCUACUCCAUAAUCUGAGCUCCCACUUUCAGAUUGAUUGCAUCACUGCUGACGGAAAAUUGCAGACCAAGAAAAAGAAAAACACUAAGAAGAAAACAACAAAUAUAAUUGCGAGGCCUUUCAAAAGAUCUGUUAAAGACUAGUGAAUUCUACACGUUCCCACUAUACAAAAUCCCAGAUCUUAAAUAAACACCCUAUGAUUAUUAGUAGAUUACUACAUAUAACCCUUAUCUUCUUUCCUUUAUUCCCCUUUCUCCGUGCUUUAUGGGGGAGCAACCCCUUACUGUCCACCUGUGAAUUGAUAAGGAUUACCUAAUUUUUUGACCGAUGUUAUUAUUACUUUUUGAUGACUGAAAAUGAAACAACUAGAAUAUAAACUUUACUCGAUGUAAAUGACAAUGAAGCUCUUUCUUUACUGGAUCGUUGUAAAAACUAUAGACAGGAAAGUGACGUGAGUUUGUGUUUUGCUUGAUGUUGAGAUGUUAAUCCAUGU
This is a long non-coding RNA of Papaver somniferum (opium poppy), 1144 nucleotides long. RefSeq lists it as uncharacterized. Lineage: Eukaryota; Viridiplantae; Streptophyta; Magnoliopsida; Ranunculales; Papaveraceae. The transcript has 3 exons. The record is from RefSeq and is a predicted model, not a curated record.